This is a long non-coding RNA of Ailuropoda melanoleuca (giant panda), 2503 nucleotides long. RefSeq lists it as uncharacterized. Lineage: Eukaryota; Metazoa; Chordata; Mammalia; Carnivora; Ursidae. The transcript has 3 exons. The record is from RefSeq and is a predicted model, not a curated record.
CCCACCCAGACAGCUCAUUCCUGUUUUGUUUUUUUUUUUUUAAUUAAAAAAAAAGUGAAAAAGAGUCGCUAGCAGAACAUAUUUCCUUUUGCGUUCUGAAGCUGGGUGCAUUGCGACAUCUUUUGGUCAGUGUCCACAGCGGCGGGGAGCUGCGUGGAGCUGGAGGGCAGGAGUAGACAUUUUCACAAGUCAACGGGGGGAGUUCACCACAUUGCGUGCGUGCGGAAGCUGCGGGAAAGAUAUGCCAGAGAACCGAGCUCCCAGCUCCCGCACCUGUGUCCUGUGGACGACUAUGAUGCGGGUAUGCUGGAAGUUCACACUCAUGAUGGAGGGGUCGGCCCCCACAGAGGAUGUGUCUCUGAGAUGCUGCAGAAGGUGUGGGCACAUCUCUCUCACGACACCAUUGACGGUCACCAUUCGAGAGUCCAGGGUGCCGGGCUGCUGGGGGGUGGUGAUAUUUACCAAUAGGAGGCUGUACCUAUUAGAUCCAAGAUCUGUAGGGCCUACGGGGUGGAUAUGACCUAUAGGACAGUGACUGACUCACUCUACCUUCAUCUUCCUCAGGUAAGUUCUCUCAUCUUGAAAUAGACCAGGUGGGAUUCACCUGCACCCCCAUCCCGUCAGUUCCCAAAGGAGCACGUUGCAGCAGCAAAUCAUGAAACAACCCUACAGCAAGAGUUAAGGGUGUUUUUCUUAAAUACUUUAUUUAUUUAUUUGAGAGAAAGAGAGAGAGCACAGAGGGAGAGGGAGAGGGAGAAGCAGGCUUCCCACUGAGCAAGAGCCCGACGCGGGACUCGAUCCCAGGACCCUGGGAUCAUGACCUGAGCCGAAGGCAGAUACUUUACUGAUAGAGCCACCCAGGCGCCCCAAGAUUUAAGGUUUUUAAAGGAUGAGGUGAAUAGCUCUCUGCCAGAUGCAUCUUUAUUGACUGAAUGUGUCCAAGGCUGUGACCUGGGGCCGAGACCUCCUUGUGAACCACCUGGCUGUACCUCAGGGUUGGCAUAUUUUGGCUCUAAGGAAGAAGAUGGUAAAUAUUUAAGCUUUGAGGUCCACACAGUGUCCGUGGAGAUGCCUGGACUCUGUGGUUGCCAUGAGAGUGGCCAUGGGCGAUAUGUAACCAAAUGGGCACAGAAGUGUUCAAAUAAAACUUUAUUUACAAGAGCAAGUUGGGGGCCAGCUCAGGCCUGAGGGCUGAGUUUUUGAGCCUUGCUCUGUGGCUCCUGGUGCAUGUGGUUGACCUCGGGGUGGAACAGUGAGGACCCUGGGGAUAAAGCUCGGCACAUUGGGGCUGGGUGUGGAUGCAUAUUGGGCUGGUCUUACUGUGUGUGCGCCUUGCACAGAAAUGGACUCAGCUCCUUCAUGUGGUCUGGAAGGUGUUCUUGACCCCAGGAAUGUCAAGUUCACCUGCCCAGGGAGCAGCUGGGCACAGGCCAACCGAGUUCCUGUAAGGAAGCCAGAGGGACUGGACGUGCCCUGGGCAGCCAGGGACUGAUUCUGAGUGACGGAGAGGAAUCUACAGCUCCCACAGGGAGAACAGGACCCGAAAUAGCAGCUCAGACCCUGGGAAACCGAGCUGCACCUGAUUGGAGCACCCGUUAAGGUCUGGCAUGAAUGCACAGGUAUUGAUGGCUGUCCUCCCAAAACCCCUGGCUCUGGGGACAUAGAGGACAGGCUGAGACCCGCUGGGCCUUAGCCCGGUUCCUUCCAAAGUCACAAGCUUCCUUCUUGUGGGGGAUUCCACGCCAAGACCCUGAGCCCCAGCUGGGCACUCGCACCUGCUAAGGGGGCCGUCACAUCAGUCAUAUGGUUCCACUGACCUGUCGACGGCAGAGUUAUUUCCCUGAUGCACGCACCUCUGUCCCCAGCGUGCAAGCCCUCAGAAGCAGCCCCUGGGCCUGCCAGCCCCGGGAAGGUGCCUGUGGACAGUGUCAGGCACAGGGAGUGGAGGAGGGAAGCGUGGGUGUGGAGGGAUCAGAGAGAACCUGCCGUCGGGCAGGGGGUACAUUUAUCUGUUCUUGUGCCUGAAUUGGAGUCCCCGGGAGCACCUGGUCCUUCUGAGUGACAGUUUCUCUCAGGGGGAAACAAAGUGGGGGUGACAAAGCUCCUUCCAUGUCUUGUAGGGCACUCAUGAGUCUUGUAGGGGACUGAUGCUUCAAUCCCUGGGACCCCAGACAAAAGGGCAUGGACCAGUGUCCUCACGUAUCUCCAGGACAGACAGACACUAGGUCCUCACCCGUCUCCAGGACAGGCAGACACCCCACGGUGCCUUCCAAAAGCUCAGAUUGCCUCCAGACACAAACUGUACCUCAGAUCCUAAGUGGACACAGGGGACCCCAUCUCCUUGGCCAUUGGGACAGGUCUUCACACCCCAGUGCAUACUCAAUGAGAGCUGGAGAAGCAUGUCCCUCCUCUCUGCACAAAGAAUAACUCAUUGGGGGCACCUGGGUGGCUCAGUCGUUAAGCGUCUGCCUUCGGCUCAGGGCGUGAUCCCAAGGUUCUGGGA